CCCACUGCUAUCGAGGUGGGACUAAGCCAUGCUAGUUGAGCGCACAGAACUAUGUCUGUGAGCGGCACACUGCUCAGUAACACGUAGCUAACCUACCCUUAGGACGUGGACAACCCCGAGAAAUUGGGGCUAAUCCGCGAUAGAUGUAUUGUCCUGGAAUGGUAUUACGUCUAAAGGUAUCCCAUACAUGUUUGGUAUACGCCUAAGGAUGGGGCUGCGGCCGAUCAGGCUGUUGGUGAGGUAAUGGCUCACCAAACCUUUGACCGGUACGGGCCAUGAGAGUGGUAGCCCGGAGAUGGACACUGAGACAAGGGUCCAGGCCCUACGGGGCGCAGCAGGCGCGAAACCUCCUCAAUGCACUUACGUGCGAAGGGGCUACCUCGAGUGCCACCUGAUGAAGGUGGCUUUUCCUAGGUCUAAAAAGCCUUGGGAAUAAGAGGGGGGCAAGACUGGUGUCAGCCGCCGCGGUAACACCAGCCCCUCGAGUGGUGGGGAUGAUUAUUGGGCCUAAAGCGUCCGUAGCCUGCCGUAUAAGUUUCCCGUUAAAUCCAGCGUCUCAAGCGUUGGACUGCGGGAAAUACUGUACGGCUAGAGAGUGGGAGAGGUUAGCGGUAUUCUGGGGGUAGGGGCGAAAUCCUUUGAUCCCCGGAGGACCACCAGUGGCGAAGGCUGCUGACUAGAACACGUCUGACGGUCAGGGACGAAAGCUGGGGUAGCGAACCGGAUUAGAUACCCGGGUAGUCCCAGCCGUAAACGAUGCAUGCUAGGUGUUGGGUUGGCCACGAGCCACCCCAGUGCCGCAGGGAAGCCGUUAAGCAUGCCGCCUGGGAAGUACGAUCGCAAGGUUGAAACUUAAAGGAAUUGGCGGGGAGCACCACCAGGCGUGAAGCCUGCGGUUU
RNAcentral lists this ribosomal RNA (899 nucleotides) under uncultured archaeon. Its description in RNAcentral is "bacterial SSU rRNA". It matches the Rfam family "Archaeal small subunit ribosomal RNA", at positions 23 to 903 of the family's 1478-position model. The record is from RNAcentral.